GCAGCCGCGGUAAUACGGAGGGGGCAAGCGUUGUUCGGAAUUAUUGGGCGUAAAGGGCAUGUAGGCGGUUUGGUAAGUUAAAGGUGAAAUACCAGGGCUUAACCCUGGGGCUGCUUUUAAUACUGCAGGACUAGAGUCCGGAAGAGGAUAGCGGAAUUCCUAGUGUAGAGGUGAAAUUCGUAGAUAUUAGGAGGAACACCAGUGGCGAAGGCGGCUGUCUGGUCCGGUACUGACGCUGAGGUGCGAAAGCGUGGGGAGCAAACAGGAUUAGAUACCCUG
Molecule: ribosomal RNA, 279 nt
Filed under: uncultured Anaplasma sp.
Lineage: Bacteria; Pseudomonadati; Pseudomonadota; Alphaproteobacteria; Rickettsiales; Anaplasmataceae
Description: partial 16S ribosomal RNA
Rfam family: Bacterial small subunit ribosomal RNA
Source: RNAcentral